This 262-nucleotide unclassified non-coding RNA is filed under the name uncultured fungus. RNAcentral describes it as "partial contains small subunit ribosomal RNA, internal transcribed spacer 1, and 5.8S ribosomal RNA". The stretch from base 1 to 73 matches the Rfam family "Eukaryotic small subunit ribosomal RNA", at positions 1759 to 1831 of the family's 1831-position model. The record is from RNAcentral. Lineage: Eukaryota; Fungi.
CCAAACUUGGUCAUUUAGAGGAAGUAAAAGUCGUAACAAGGUCCCCGUAGGUGAACCUUCGGGGGGAUCAUUACCGAGCACUGUGGACCCGUUUGGGCCGCGCCCUCCCCAUCCCUUGCUUGAAACCCAACCUUGCCUCGGCCGCCCCGGCGGCCAGAAGUCGAUUAAACCCCAGGAACCGUGGAUCCGAGCGGCGAGAGCCGAACUCAGUACAACCCGCAACGAUGGAUCUCUUGGUUCCAGCAUCGAUGAAGAACGCAGC